Molecule: transfer RNA, 70 nt
Filed under: Podarcis lilfordi (Lilford's wall lizard)
Lineage: Eukaryota; Metazoa; Chordata; Lepidosauria; Squamata; Lacertidae
Description: tRNA.Asn
Source: RNAcentral
GGAUAGCUCAGUUGGCUAGAGCGUGGUACUGUUAACACCAAUGUUACAGGUUCGAUUCCCAUAUGGGACA